This is a non-coding RNA of Cricetulus griseus (Chinese hamster), 740 nucleotides long. NCBI's taxonomy places the organism in Eukaryota, Metazoa, Chordata, Mammalia, Rodentia, Cricetidae. The record is from RefSeq and is a predicted model, not a curated record.
UGUAGUUUGCGGUGGGCUUUUAGUGGGUCGCGCAGCCGCAGGCUGAUUGUGGUAGUUGCUGCAGUGGGUCUGUCCGAGAUUUGAGCGACUGGUUAGUUCUCCUUGGAGAGUGUCUGCCGGUGAAUGUGGUGGAACGCAACUGAGCCCACCCGACCUCAGUUCCGGUACGGAUGGCCCGCGCCGGGAGAGCAGGGCGGCUAAGUCCGGUUUGUAUUGUUCAGCUAGUCUUGGGUUUGGAUCCUGCUGUGGUGUGUGGUCACUCUACCGGGGCACCAACCUACCUCAUCAUUAAAAACAAGAGCCUGGCGAUGGUGGCACACCUCUUUAACCCCAGCACUUGGGAGGCAGAGGCAGCCGGAUCUCUGAGUUUGAGGAUAGCCUGGUCUACAGAGCAAGUUCCAGGACCGUCAAGGCUACAAGCAACAAGAAGACAAAAACCCAGCUCUCCCUCUUCUGAGAGCUGUCAGAUACUAGUAGCUUCUCAGACACUGUCAACCAACUCUCCGAUAGGAUGGUGUGUGGCUGGGGCCUGUGCAGACCUGUGCAUGCUGACAAAAUUGCUAUGAGUUCAUAUACACAUCUGCUCUAGUUUGUCUGGAAAACAGUUUGCAUGGAGUUAUCCACCACCUCUGCCUCUUACAGUCUUUCUACUCCCUCUUCUACAACCACUCCUAAAUAUCUGAUUCAGGGGUGAACACUUGGAAUAUAACAAAAAUAAAUAAAAAAUGACAUAGCUGUGA